AGAUCAAUAAUUCUAGUUUGAAAUAUAAAUCUUUUAUUAUUGUUUUUAUAAGAGCAAGAUCAAUAAUUCUAGUUUGAAAUAUAAAUCUUUUAUUAUUGUUUUUAUGAGAUUUUUAUUUCCAGCCGUUUAUUUUGAAGCUACUCGUUUAGUAGGCAAACAAAUUAAAAAAAAAUUAUAAAAAUUAAUUUCUAGCUAGUUCCAGUACUAUAGAUUACAUCUAGCAGAGCCGAUCAUCAAAUUGAAUGUCCCAUCAUAAAAAAUAAUUAAAAAGUAAUGAUUGGAGACGAAAAUCAAUAUAAAUCUAA
This 305-nucleotide long non-coding RNA is filed under the name Ananas comosus (pineapple). RNAcentral's name for it is "long non-coding RNA (ACOM_LNC007205)". Lineage: Eukaryota; Viridiplantae; Streptophyta; Magnoliopsida; Poales; Bromeliaceae. The record is from RNAcentral.